This 1606-nucleotide long non-coding RNA is filed under the name Volvox carteri. Its description in RNAcentral is "long non-coding RNA (VCAR_LNC000873)". Lineage: Eukaryota; Viridiplantae; Chlorophyta; Chlorophyceae; Chlamydomonadales; Volvocaceae. The record is from RNAcentral.
CAGGCUGUAGCUGUACAGGAGUGAAAAACAGGGAGUGCCGUUGCAUGGCGCGAUGUCCAAACCUGGUUAAAACGGCCUAACCGCCGGGAAGUCCCUAAGAAGGGUGGGAGCUUUCAGACGCCGGUUUUCCAUCCUAAACAUUGUUGGAUAAAAGACCAUUCAAAUCGCGAGCUUCCUUGAAAUUUGAUGAGGGCAAAAUGCUUUGGUACUGCUUGUGUAAUGCGUUUCCCGUGUGGAACGACGGAUUCGUUGACCCGUGGGACCUGUACGGCAGAUUUGGCGAUGGCGGCUAGCGCAUGACGAGAUGUGCGUCUUCUUUUUCGGCAAAUGUUGCAUUUCAAAAGCAUAGCUGUUCUUGGAAAAGAGCAAGAGCGGAACAAGCACUGACGAAACCGGAGGAAAUGAAGAUUACCGGGUUGACUUGUGCUCACUGUCAACAAGGCCAUCACACUGUUAUUUUCUUAAGCUAUAUACGGCCAUGUGCUUAUUCUGAUGUUUAUUGGGCUUGCUGCAAGAAAGGAUAGGAUGGCGGGGCAUCCCUUGGCGAUGUCCACCCGGAGGCAUCCGUGUGGAGGCGAAUCGGCUUAAAAUGUAAGGAAGUAUUGAUAUUUUCUUAAGGCCACAGGUUUUUGCGGUUGGAUACGCAUGCUUCCACCUGUGCCGCUCCGCUAAAAGGUGAGAUGCAGGUAGCGGGAACGCGUUAUAGCUUACUGGUCCCCGGACACCGUUUUAAUUCCUGCCUACAAUGUACUCCGAUGAUCCUAGCAUGAUAUAGGGCUGACAACACUCAUGGGAAGAAUCACCCGUGGUUUAGGCAGGGAAUGUAGGCAGCCGAAGCUUUUUAAUUAUUUGGCCUUUCCUGUUCAUGGAAACAUGCGUCGUAAUGUUAGACACCGUGCAGACUUCAACUGGUAAUUGUUCAAGGAUUAGCCAGGGGCACAUAUGUUAUCGUCCUGGUUAGGCAACAUUACAACGCUGCGCAGUGCAAGUCCCCCCAUUUACGGAGUGCUGAAGCAAUUAUUUUGGUUGUAAAAUAAUUUGAAUUUUUACGGGAAGGCGUUUUCUUGCUUCUCCUUUUUUGCAGCAGGACAGAGUUUUUGCCGAUGGUGGACAGGAGCAGGACAAGGUGCCUUCAGCUGGCAUUAAUAAAAACGGCCCGCUCUCCGCUGGCAUCAUUCGAUGGUCGUUUUUGCCGCUGCGGUCUCCAUCCUUGCAAAGAGUGCGACCUCAUACCGAGGUGCGGAGGUGCGCCAUACACCAAUUUGCGUACUCCAACCACCGCCUACCGUGGUGCGUUUCAAGUAAUGUUUUCAUUUAUCGUAUGUGAGUCAGCUUAAAAGUAGAACGGCGUGACAGGUGCCCCCCCCUCUCCGGUUAGCAAUGCCGGACUGACUGCAGGAUUGAGGGCCCUGACUGUGGCUGAGAUGUAUUUUAUUUCCAGGGUUAGAUGCUGUUGCAUAAAGCUAUGUUCGUUUAGCUGCGAACAAUUUGGGAUCUGCUAUCCGCGCGCACUUGAGAUUUGCGUCGGCACUGCAACUCGUACGCGGACGUCCGCACAUCCAGAUGUCUUAUUUCCUGAUUACGGAAAGGGCUUUUUCAAUUUACG